Small nucleolar RNA from Erinaceus europaeus (western European hedgehog), 167 nucleotides. Its record names the gene SNORA73. It matches the Rfam family "Small nucleolar RNA SNORA73 family". Rfam says of the family: U17 (SNORA73A and SNORA73B) also known as E1 belongs to the H/ACA class of small nucleolar RNAs (snoRNAs). Vertebrate U17 is intron-encoded and ranges in length from 200-230 nucleotides, longer than most snoRNAs. The record is from Ensembl. NCBI's taxonomy places the organism in Eukaryota, Metazoa, Chordata, Mammalia, Eulipotyphla, Erinaceidae.
CCGAUGCAGAUAGCUGGGGGUCGCUCUCCCAGGCUCUGCCCCGUGACGUACGGUCCCUUUCCAUGGCGUUGGAGAUGAGGCCAGGCCCCAAGUCUGUGCCUGCACAUUCCUACAGCGUCUCAGACUCCUUCGGACGGUGACUGAGGAGACAAACGCAGGAAGCAGUU